AUAUUAUGACAUGAAAUAGGUACGAUCUAGUAAUUUUGGAGUCCGGCUAUUAUGCUAUUAAUAACAUCAAGAUGUCAGUACGAUCAAAUUUUUCGCCAUUUGCUUGAUUUUUUAAGUCAUUUUUCAUUCGUUCGAUCACACUUUUCAACCAAUCAUCCACUCAAGUUUAGAGGACCACUAACUGCAUAUCUUUUUAUCAAACAGCUGAAAAUCUAAUAGUGUCAAUCACUUGACGUUAUUAAUUAUGUGGUAAC
Molecule: long non-coding RNA, 254 nt
Filed under: Ananas comosus (pineapple)
Lineage: Eukaryota; Viridiplantae; Streptophyta; Magnoliopsida; Poales; Bromeliaceae
Description: long non-coding RNA (ACOM_LNC006592)
Source: RNAcentral